UAUAAAGCUACUCAACUCCAUAGUCUGGUGCAGACCCAAUGUCAACUGCUACGAUAAACAGUUGGUGUCUCACCUCUCUCUCCCAAGCCCAAUCCCCACAAAACAAAGCUACAUUACGCCCUUCCAUAUCCGCCCGCCUUAACUCUCCUGCUUCUCCUGCUCCACCCAACCUCAUCCAAAACAAGCCCGUAUUUGCUGCUCCUGCUCCUAUCAUCACUCCCACUUGGGUACCGUUCUCUCUCUCCCUUUUUCCUAUGUUUUCUUUUUUUUUAAAAAAAAAGUAAAAAAAAAAUUAACAGCUCUGUCCAUUUGCUGUCUAUGGUUUUGAAUUGUGAUAAUGAUGAUGCUAAAGACAAGUUGGGUUUGAUACAAUGAAGCUAAGGUCUUAGUCCUGAUAAUGUGGACAGUGAAGCAAGAAUAGUGUGAGAGAGAAGGUGGAGAGUAGUGUAGAAACUCAUGAAAUUUGACAUGCAUCUCGUGGUAGUGUUUCUGUUUCUUUUGUUUUCAUUGUUCUUUUUCCUUUUUCUUCUUGAAUAGGGUAAAGUUGAGAAGAAGCAUGAGAAGAGGGGAUUUUAACUUAAAAGCCAUAGCAAAUAUGAAACCCAUGAUGGAAGGGCAAACCCAAAAAAGAAAGGAAAAGAACACUUUCUUUGAAUUGUUUAUUGCCAUACGACCAUGCUGUUUCAGUGGGUUGAAGCUUGAAAUAGAUAAUAAAUUUAUGUUUUUUUCUGAAAGAAACAGGACCAGAUGGUCUAAAACUCAACGAUUUAUCAGAUUUUUUUCUCUCUCUCUUCUUGGUGUCCUAAUCAUUCUAUUUAUUGAGGAAAGUCAUGGUGCCAAGUGUAAGGUGUAGAGUUGUUUUUGUAACAUCCAAAUUGUGCUAGUCCACGUAGCAAGAAAGCCAGAAAGAAGGUUAAACAAACAAAUUAAAUGUGGGCGUAAAGGGGCCCAUUCUUAGGAGGAAUCUGAGGAGAAGAUUCUUCAGAGGAUAGUCCACUUAUAUGCAAUUUUGUUGCUCUGCAUUUGAACACUUCUGCAAGACCCUAUUCCAAUUUCUCAGAUUCAGGUGUGAAAAUCUCAGCUCAUUAAUCUCUUCUUCAGUUUCUUUUUUGCAAAUUUCUCUCACAAUAAUCAGGAAUUCCGGACAAAAUCUCAGUUAGAACUGAAUCAUUCUAUUUAGCUACUUAUUUUCUUCAGAGGAUUCUCUUUAGACUUUUGGUAUAUACUAUAUAGUUUACAACCAUCCCCAUCCCUUUCUAUGUACAAGUGCUAAUUAAUAGGCAAUGGAAAGUGGGGUUUGUUUAUGGUUGAUUAAUAUUUGGUGGGGUGUAAUCCUUUUGUGGGAAUUUGCAGAGAGAAGAUAUGGGAAACGGCUCCUACGACGAGGCUGUGGAAGGUCUCAGGAAGCUUCUCCGGUACACACUCGAUCUCAUCCAUACAGUUGUUUUGCAAUUUGUCCCUGGUCACUGCUCUUCACUCAUCUCCAAAUAUUCUUCGUGUCACUGAUAAAAGAAAACCCAGUCCCUUUGUCUUCUCUUCUAUGCUUUUGUCUACCCCAGCAACGAUCAUUUUCAUGCAAAUUCUCAAAUUUUGUACAAAAUAGAUAGUUAUGAGAAAAUCUAUACCAAUUAAACUAACUAGUUUUGGUGAUUUGGGUUGCAGUGAGAAGGCAAACCUGGAACCUGUAGCAGCUGCAAAAAUUGACCAGAUAACAGCCCAAUUGAAAUCUAGUGAUGGUUCAUCAUCACCAUUUGAUCCAGUUGAGAGGAUGAAAACAGGCUUCAUUUAUUUUAAAAAAGAGAAAUA
RNAcentral lists this long non-coding RNA (1806 nucleotides) under Vitis vinifera (wine grape). RNAcentral describes it as "long non-coding RNA (VVIN_LNC004856)". The record is from RNAcentral. Lineage: Eukaryota; Viridiplantae; Streptophyta; Magnoliopsida; Vitales; Vitaceae.